GACGAGGGAGUCUUUCGUGGGAGUCAAGAGGAGCUGAACAAAGGCUUUGGGGCGGCUGAAUCUUUUCAGGAGCCACAAAAUCCUGAAAAUCAAAGGCCACAAGAUUCACCUCCAGCUGUCCAGGUACCUCCAAUAAAAUCCAAUUCAUGGACCCUGCUAAGGCCACAAAAUAAUGGGAGCUGCCACGAGACGCCUGCAUCAAGAGUUGGUGACACUGUCCAGUUCCCCCAGAAACAAGGACAUUCAUUCACCCGAAGGCCACAAGACAGUUCACAAAGUGGCAUCUGCAGCAAGACACUUGCAAGAGUCGACUCCUGUGCCAUCCUGGAGUUAUGAGGCCCUAUUUGAAACUACAACCUCAUUAAUGCGGGACAUGCUCACCAAGCAGGAGAUGAUUCUCGAGCAGCAAACGCACAUCCUAAAAAUUCUACAUGCCAGAAAACUCUCAAUUUGAAAUGGAUGAGGGUCUCCUGCCAAUAAACCACCUCAGCCUGAUCGGCGGAAGUGGAUGUAAAGGAUACAGUGUGGCGGCCAAUGACAAUAUCAAACACCGUCGCACGGAGACCAAUUGGAGAGGAGUAAAUGGGAAAAUAUUCAUGGCUUCCCUACAACUGAAGAAGGCUGUAAUCGCUGCUGUAAGAAAGAACCCACUGACUUCGAGGGCUUCUGAACGUGAGGUGGAAAUGUUUAUGAAGAGCUGGCUACGGCUGCAGCGGAUCGAGAAGGGGGCAGAAGACGGCGAGCCAAAGUCCUUGUAGCUCCAUGAACAACGUUGAUUAAUGCAAUAAAAUAUUACAAAUUCGAGAGUGUAAAAUAUAUUAUAAUAGAC
Long non-coding RNA from Gasterosteus aculeatus aculeatus (three-spined stickleback), 829 nucleotides. Lineage: Eukaryota; Metazoa; Chordata; Actinopteri; Perciformes; Gasterosteidae. The record is from Ensembl.